Molecule: ribosomal RNA, 907 nt
Filed under: uncultured Bacteroidota bacterium
Lineage: Bacteria; Pseudomonadati; Bacteroidota
Description: bacterial SSU rRNA
Rfam family: Bacterial small subunit ribosomal RNA
Source: RNAcentral
GGAUCCAGACUUUGAUUCUGGCUCAGGAUGAACGCUAGCUACAGGCUUAACACAUGCAAGUCGAGGGGAAACGACAUCGAAAGCUUGCUUUUGAUGGGCGUCGACCGGCGCACGGGUGAGUAACGCGUAUCCAACCUGCCCAUCACUUGGGAAUAACCUUGCGAAAGUAAGACUAAUACCCAAUGAUAUCCCACGAAGGCAUCCGAAUGGGAUUAAAGAUUUAUCGGUGAUGGAUGGGGAUGCGUCUGAUUAGCUUGUUGGCGGGGUAACGGCCCACCAAGGCAACGAUCAGUAGGGGUUCUGAGAGGAAGGUCCCCCACAUUGGAACUGAGACACGGUCCAAACUCCUACGGGAGGCAGCAGUGAGGAAUAUUGGUCAAUGGGCGAGAGCCUGAACCAGCCAAGUAGCGUGCAGGAUGACGGCCCUAUGGGUUGUAAACUGCUUUUAUAAGGGAAUAAAGUGGGUCACGUGUGACUUUUUGCAUGUACCUUAUGAAUAAGGACCGGCUAAUUCCGUGCCAGCAGCCGCGGUAAUACGGAAGGUCCGGGCGUUAUCCGGAUUUAUUGGGUUUAAAGGGAGCGUAGGCCGGAGAUUAAGCGUGUUGUGAAAUGUAGAGGCUCAACCUCUGCACUGCAGCGCGAACUGGUCUUCUUGAGUACGCACAACGUGGGCGGAAUUCGUGGUGUAGCGGUGAAAUGCUUAGAUAUCACGAAGAACUCCGAUUGCGAAGGCAGCUCACGGGAGCGCAACUGACGCUGAAGCUCGAAAGUGCGGGUAUCGAACAGGAUUAGAUACCCUGGUAGUCCGCACGGUAAACGAUGGAUGCCCGCUGUUGGCCUGAAUAGGUCAGCGGCCAAGCGAAAGCAUUAAGCAUCCCACCUGGGGAGUACGCCGGCAACGGUGCAA